GGCUGAUAGAUGUGCCAUGCCUCUAACCUUUAUUCCACAAAACUAUAUAUAUCAUAAACAAAAAUUCUAAUCCCCAUCAAACAAAUCACCUUGAUUAUUUCAUCCACUACAGCCCUCAACCUCACUUGUUAUAGGAGACUUCUCCGGUGAGUAAUUGCUCUCGGCGCUUCUUGUUGAGAUCGUACAACUUAUCCAUCGGAGGAAGGCACUCUUUGACAACUUGCACAUCCAGAACAAGAUGGAACCAGGCCUUCAUCAAUGGCAGGCUCGCUUCAUUCACCACACUCACUCCAGCAAUAUCCUCGAGCAUCGGCAGCAUGUAUGCAAACCAACCUACUACAAUGUCGAGGUACCCGAAGGAAUCGCCACCGAAGAACCUCUUCCCCUCGAGGGCCUUUUCCAGAGUCUUCAGAAGCUCUUGAGACUCCUUCACUGCCUUCUGUAGCUCUUCUCCUGCUGUGGAGUAUCCUGUAAAAAGUGCAGGCAGAAUCUUUUCUUCUGCAAACCUUGCCCAGAAACGAGCCUGUGCCCUCUCGUAGGGAUCUUUAGGCAUGAUGGGGUUGCAGUCGGGCCAGGUCUCGUCGAUGUACUCGAUGAUCACCAGUGACUCGGCCACCGCUCGGCCGUCGUGGACAAGGGUGGGCACCUUCUUGGUGAUGGGGUUGUAGUGGAGCAGCUCCGGGCUCUUGUUGUGGGGCAAGUCCUCGUUCACAUACUCGUAUUCCACGCCCUUCAACCUCAGAGCCCAUUCCACCCUGAGGGCGAAGGGGCUCGCCCACAUCCCGAACAAUUUCAC
Molecule: unclassified non-coding RNA, 796 nt
Filed under: Hevea brasiliensis (rubber tree)
Lineage: Eukaryota; Viridiplantae; Streptophyta; Magnoliopsida; Malpighiales; Euphorbiaceae
Source: RNAcentral